RNAcentral lists this ribosomal RNA (253 nucleotides) under uncultured bacterium. RNAcentral's name for it is "partial 16S ribosomal RNA". It matches the Rfam family "Bacterial small subunit ribosomal RNA", at positions 524 to 776 of the family's 1533-position model. The record is from RNAcentral.
CACGUAGGGUGCGAGCGUUGUCCGGAAUUAUUGGGCGUAAAGAGCUCGUAGGCGGUCUGUCGCGUCUGCUGUGAAAACUCGGGGCUUAACCCCGGGACUGCAGUGGGUACGGGCAGACUAGAGUGCGGUAGGGGAGACUGGAAUUCCUGGUGUAGCGGUGAAAUGCGCAGAUAUCAGGAGGAACACCGGUGGCGAAGGCGGGUCUCUGGGCCGUAACUGACGCUGAGGAGCGAAAGCAUGGGGAGCGAACAGG